CGCAUCUUGCGCUCUCUGGUAUUCCGGAGAGCAUGUCUGUUUGAGUGUCAUGAAUUCUUCAACCCAACUGUUUCUUGUAAACAGCUGGUGUUUGGAUUCUGAGCGCUGCUGGCUUCGUGCCUAGCUCGUUCGUAAUACAUCAGCAUCCCUAAUACAAGUUUGGAUUGACUUGGCGUAAUAGACUAUUCGCUAAGGAUUCAAUGUUCGCAUUGAGCCAACUUAAUUAUGGAAGCUUCUAAUUGAAAAGUCUACCUUUAGAUUAGAUCUCAAAUCAGGCAGGAUUACCCGCUGAACUUAA
Molecule: unclassified non-coding RNA, 298 nt
Filed under: Sporobolomyces roseus
Lineage: Eukaryota; Fungi; Basidiomycota; Microbotryomycetes; Sporidiobolales; Sporidiobolaceae
Description: partial contains 5.8S ribosomal RNA, internal transcribed spacer 2, and large subunit ribosomal RNA
Source: RNAcentral